RNAcentral lists this ribosomal RNA (906 nucleotides) under uncultured archaeon. RNAcentral's name for it is "bacterial SSU rRNA". It matches the Rfam family "Archaeal small subunit ribosomal RNA", at positions 21 to 903 of the family's 1478-position model. The record is from RNAcentral.
CCCCACUGCUAUCGGGGUGGGACUAAAACAUGCAAGUCGAGCGCCUCCAAGCUAUGGUGAAGGCGCGGCAAACGGCUCAGUAACACGUGGCCAACCUACCCUUGGGACGGAGACAACCCCGGGAAACUGGGGCUAAUCCCCGAUAGGUAAGGAAUCCUGGAAUGGAUCUUUGCUGAAAGGGCGUCUAGACCAUGCUUCUUGACGUCGCCCAAGGAUGGAGCCGCGGCCGAUCAGGUAGUUGGCGAGGCAACGGCUCACCAAGCCUAUAACCGGUACGGGCCGUGAGAGCGGGAGCCCGGAGAUGGGCACUGAGACAAGGGCCCAGGCCCUACGGAGCGCAGCAGUUGCGAAAACUCCGCAAUGCGCGAAAGCGUGACGGGGCUACCCCGAGUGCCGCCCGUUGAGGGCGGCUUUUCCACGGUGUAAGGAGCCGUGGGAAUAAGGAGAGGGCAAGACUGGUGUCAGCCGCCGCGGUAAUACCAGCUCUCCGAGUGGUGGGGACGAUUAUUGGGCUUAAAGCGUUCGUAGCCGGCUUAACAAGUCUUCCGUUAAAUCCAACGAUUCAAUCGUUGGGCUGCGGGGGAUACUGUCCGGCUAGGGGGCGGGAGAGGCCGACGGUAUCCUCGGGGUAGGGGUGAAAUCCUAUAAUCCCGGGAGGACCACCAGUGGCGAAGGCUGUCGGCUAGAACGCGCUCGACGGUGAGGGAUGAAAGCUGGGGGAGCGAACCGGAUUAGAUACCCGGGUAGUCCCAGCUGUAAACGAUGCAGGCUAGGUGUUGGCGCGGCUACGUGCCGCUCCAGUGCCGCAGGGAAGCCGUUAAGCCUGCCGCCUGGGAAGUACGGCCGCAAGGCUGAAACUUAAAGGAAUUGGCGGGGGAGCACCACAAGGUGUGAAGCUUGCGGUUU